AACGAACGCUGGCGGCAGGCCUAACACAUGCAAGUCGAACGAAGUCUUCGGACUUAGUGGCGCACGGGUGAGUAACACGUGGGAAUAUACCUUACGCUGGGGGAUAACAUCGGGAAACUGAUGCUAAUACCGCAUACGCCCUUCGGGGGAAAGAUUUAUCGGCGAAAGAUUAGCCCGCGUCCGAUUAGCUAGUUGGUGAGGUAAUGGCUCACCAAGGCUCCGAUCGGUAGCUGGUCUGAGAGGAUGACCAGCCACACUGGGACUGAGACACGGCCCAGACUCCUACGGGAAGCAGCAGUGGGGAAUAUUGGACAAUGGGCGCAAGCCUGAUCCAGCCAUGCCGCGUGAGUGAUGAAGGCCUUAGGGUUGUAAAGCUCUUUCACCCACGACGAUGAUGACGGUAGUGGGAGAAGAAGCCCCGGCUAACUUCGUG
RNAcentral lists this ribosomal RNA (433 nucleotides) under uncultured bacterium. Its description in RNAcentral is "partial 16S ribosomal RNA". It matches the Rfam family "Bacterial small subunit ribosomal RNA", at positions 29 to 507 of the family's 1533-position model. The record is from RNAcentral.